RNAcentral lists this ribosomal RNA (465 nucleotides) under uncultured bacterium. Its description in RNAcentral is "partial 16S ribosomal RNA". It matches the Rfam family "Bacterial small subunit ribosomal RNA", at positions 28 to 507 of the family's 1533-position model. The record is from RNAcentral.
GACGAACGCUGGCGGCGUGCUUAACACAUGCAAGUCGAACGGAAGGGCCCCUUUGGGGGUACUCGAGUGGCGAACGGGUGAGUAACACGUGAGUAACCUGCCCUUGACUUCGGGAUAACUUCAGGAAACUGGGGCUAAUACCGGAUAGGAAUCCUUGCUGCAUGGUGGGGGUUGGAAAGCUUCGGCGGUUUUGGAUGGACUCGCGGCUUAUCAGCUUGUUGGUGGGGUAGUGGCUUACCAAGGCUUUGACGGGUAGCCGGCCUGAGAGGGCGACCGGCCACAUUGGGACUGAGAUACGGCCCAGACUCCUACGGGAGGCAGCAGUGGGGAAUAUUGCACAAUGGGCGGAAGCCUGAUGCAGCAACGCCGCGUGCGGGAUGACGGCCUUCGGGUUGUAAACCGCUUUCAGCAGGGGCGAAGCUUGUGGUGACGGUACCUGCAGAAGAAGCACCGGCUAACUACGUG